This 492-nucleotide long non-coding RNA is filed under the name Brassica napus (rape). RNAcentral describes it as "long non-coding RNA (BNAP_LNC019864)". The record is from RNAcentral. Lineage: Eukaryota; Viridiplantae; Streptophyta; Magnoliopsida; Brassicales; Brassicaceae.
AGUCUAGCUGUUUUCCCAUCCUUAAAACAACUUCAACUUAAACUGCCGAACAAUUGCCUUGUUCGACUCAUCAUUCACUGUUUUUAAACAAAUAAACCUCUUAGUCUAUCUUUAUUUCUAAUCCUUUAGAUCUGUUGAGUAAUCCUAGAGUCCUUGUGGACUUGAUCCCUAAGUACUGCAACUGAACCUCUUAUUUGAGAGAGUAAUUCACUCCUUAGGGUAAUUUGGGUGGUAUCAACUGCACUCGAAGCUUUCCAAUACUCAAACUGACGCAGAGCCCUCCUAUAGUUCUUUGAGUGCUUAGUAAGCCACAGAGAUUUCUCCUCUUCAAUACUGACUUCAGUAACCUCCCGACUGACCUCAUCACCAUUCUUAACACCUGCUCCUGACUCUUCACUAAUCUCCCCUUCCUCCAAUUGAGUUUCACCCUCACCCACUAACUUUCCAACUGCAUCAGACACACCACCAAUACUCAACCCUUUACCUCCGAAG